UACGGAAGGCAGCAGUGGGGAAUAUUGCACAAUGGGCGAAAGCCUGAUGCAGCUAUGCCGCGUGUAUGAAGAAGGCCUUAGGGUUGUAAAGUACUUUCAUCGGGGAGGAAAAAACAAAACUAAUAAUUUUAUUUCUUGACGUUACCCGAAAAAGAAGCACCGGCUAACUCCGUGCCAGCAGCCGCGGUAAUACGGAGGGUGCUAGCGUUAAUCAGAAUUACUGGGCGUAAAGAGCACGUAGGUGGUUUUUUUAAGUUCAGAUGUGAAAUCCCUGGGCUUAACCUAGGAACUGCAUUUGAAACUGAAAUACUAGAGUAUCGUAGAGGGAGGUAGAAUUCAGGUGUAGCGGUGAAAUGCGUAGAUAUCUGGAGGAAUACCUGUGGCGAAAGCGGCCUCCUAAACGAAUACUGACACUGAAGGGUGCGAAAAGCGUGGGGAGCAAAACAGGGAUUAGAUACC
This 459-nucleotide ribosomal RNA is filed under the name uncultured bacterium. RNAcentral's name for it is "bacterial SSU rRNA". It matches the Rfam family "Bacterial small subunit ribosomal RNA", at positions 340 to 786 of the family's 1533-position model. The record is from RNAcentral.